RNAcentral lists this transfer RNA (83 nucleotides) under Penicillium salamii. Its description in RNAcentral is "tRNA-Gly". It matches the Rfam family "tRNA". From Rfam's summary of the family: Transfer RNA (tRNA) molecules are approximately 80 nucleotides in length. Lineage: Eukaryota; Fungi; Ascomycota; Eurotiomycetes; Eurotiales; Aspergillaceae. The record is from RNAcentral.
GGCGCCUAUAGUCCAGUGGUAGGAUGCCGCUUUCCCAUGUGCGAUUCAAGCGGUGGCCCGGGUUCGAACCCCGGUGGGCGCAU